Molecule: ribosomal RNA, 460 nt
Filed under: uncultured bacterium
Lineage: Bacteria
Description: partial 16S ribosomal RNA
Rfam family: Bacterial small subunit ribosomal RNA
Source: RNAcentral
CCUACGGGGAGCAGCAGUGAGGAAUAUUGGUCAAUGGCCGUAAGGCUGAACCAGCCAAGUCGCGUGAAGGAAGAAGGAUCUAUGGUUUGUAAACUUCUUUUAUAGGGGAAUAAAGGUAUCCACGUGUGGAUAUUUGCAUGUACCCUAUGAAUAAGCAUCGGCUAACUCCGUGCCAGCAGCCGCGGUAAUACGGAGGAUGCGAGCGUUAUCCGGAUUUAUUGGGUUUAAAGGGUGCGUAGGUUGUUUUUUAAGUCAGCGGGGAAAGUUUGUGGCUCAACCAUAAAAUUGCCGUUGAAACUGGAAGACUUGAGUGUGUUUGAGGUAGGCAGAAUGCGUGGUGUAGCGGUGAAAUGCAUAGAUAUCACGCAGAACUCCGAUUGCGAAGGCAGCUUACUAAGCCAUAACUGACACUGAAGCACGAAAGCGUGGGGAUCAAACAGGAUUAGAUACCCGAGUAGUC